GACAGAGGGUGCAAACGUUGUUCGGAAUUACUGGGCGUAAAGCGAGUGUAGGCGGUUUGGUAAGUCGGAUGUGAAAGCCCUGGGCUCAACCCAGGAAGUGCAUUCGAUACUGUCAAGCUAGAGUAUCGGAGAGGUUGGUGGAAUUCUCGGUGUAGAGGUGAAAUUCGUAGAUAUUGGGAAGAACACCGAUGGCGAAGGCAGCCAUCUGGACCGACACUGACGCUGAGGCGCGAAAGCGUGGGGAGCAAACAGG
RNAcentral lists this ribosomal RNA (253 nucleotides) under uncultured bacterium. RNAcentral describes it as "partial 16S ribosomal RNA". It matches the Rfam family "Bacterial small subunit ribosomal RNA", at positions 524 to 776 of the family's 1533-position model. The record is from RNAcentral.